RNAcentral lists this ribosomal RNA (421 nucleotides) under uncultured bacterium. RNAcentral describes it as "bacterial SSU rRNA". It matches the Rfam family "Bacterial small subunit ribosomal RNA", at positions 355 to 773 of the family's 1533-position model. The record is from RNAcentral.
UAAGGAAUAUUGGACAAUGGAGGCAACUCUGAUCCAGCCAUGCCGCGUGAAGGAAUAAGGCCCUAUGGGUUGUAAACUUCUUUUAGACGGGACAAAACCCCUUUACGUGUAAAGGGUUGAUGGUACUGUCAGAAUAAGCACCGGCUAACUCCGUGCCAGCAGCCGCGGUAAUACGGAGGGUGCGAGCGUUAUCCGGAUUUACUGGGUUUAAAGGGUGCGUAGGUGGGCUUAUAAGUCAGUGGUGAAAUCUCCGAGCUUAACUUGGAAACUGCCGUUGAUACUAUAGGUCUUGAAUUAUCUGGAGGUAAGCAGAAUAUGUCAUGUAGCGGUGAAAUGCUUAGAUAUGACAUAGAACACCAAUUGCGAAGGCAGCUUACUACAUAUAAAUUGACGCUGAGGCACGAAAGCGUGGGGAUCAAAC